RNAcentral lists this ribosomal RNA (253 nucleotides) under uncultured bacterium. Its description in RNAcentral is "partial 16S ribosomal RNA". It matches the Rfam family "Bacterial small subunit ribosomal RNA", at positions 524 to 776 of the family's 1533-position model. The record is from RNAcentral.
UACGUAGGGUGCAAGCGUUGUCCGGAAUUAUUGGGCGUAAAGAGCUCGUAGGCGGUUCGUCGCGUCGGCUGUGAAAUCCCGAGGCUCAACCUCGGGCUUGCAGUGGGUACGGGCAGACUAGAGUGCGGUAGGGGUGACUGGAAUUCCUGGUGUAGCGGUGGAAUGCGCAGAUAUCAGGAGGAACACCGAUGGCGAAGGCAGGUCACUGGGCCGCAACUGACGCUGAGGAGCGAAAGCAUGGGGAGCGAACAGG